Molecule: long non-coding RNA, 2906 nt
Organism: Orcinus orca (killer whale)
Lineage: Eukaryota; Metazoa; Chordata; Mammalia; Artiodactyla; Delphinidae
Exons: 4
Source: RefSeq, a predicted model, not a curated record
CUCCUAUAUGACACCCCCAACAGACAGGGUCUAAGAUGCAUAUGCACCCACCCACUCAAGCCUCAAGCCUGUAUCUGCAUCUAUAUCCAGCAACAGGAACAAGAACCAAGGUAGCCACCGAUUUAACUUAGAGAACUCUCAAACCUCAGGUCAAUGUAUGGGGUGGAGGUGGGGCUUUUCCCUCAAGGAAUCCCCCUGCCAUUUUUGCCAUUGUAUUAAUUAAUAUCCCUGACAAGGUAGAAUUCCCUAAACAUGGAGGGGGUGAAAAAAUAAUGACUACUGAGACGAUAUUCCAUUUCUGGCCCCUGGGGGGAAUUGUUGUUUAUUUCUUUUCAGAGGAUCAAGAUAGUGUGAACUUUAGGGAGUGCUGUAAUUUACGGGAGGGAAGGGAUACAAGACUCAGGGCCCCAAGCAAUCGGUGGGAAACUAGAUCUCAAAACAGAAAAUGAAAAGUCGAUCUGGGGUAAGAUUUUUAAAUAAGUGGGUCAGAGGGACCGAGAGGAGAUGAGGCGAUCAAUCUUAGCCCCCUGACAGCUCCCUCGGAUGGCAUCAAAGAAUUUGGCUCUUUGGGAAAGCAGAGGGAACAGCCGAAAUUCCACAUCCCUUUAAAAGGCCUGGGGAUGGGGGGUGUUAGCAAAAGAGAAGGGUGAUUCUGGGAGAGCAGGGAAACAGAUGGGAAAUGGGGACAGAGGAAGGGCGCUGGGUUGGGUGGAAAGUUUGUCUGGAGAACUCCCACGGCUCUGGCCUCCCCUCCCCCUCCUUGCUCGCUGCCUCCUAGCAAGAAGGAGAAGGCUGGUUAGCAGAGAAAUGGCAUCUCGGCCGGGAGCUGGAACUAGAAACUUUCUGUCAAUGUAACAGACGCGUGGGUGGUGGUGAGUAUUCAUCCGCGUGGGUGGUGGGUGAGUAAAAAAAGACAGAGAAAUCUGAGGAAAAGGGUGGGGUGGAGGAGAGCCAGGAGGAAAAUAGGGGAGCUGGAGGCGAGGGCUGCAGGGCAGGGGGCGGCAAGCUCUGGAGGGUUCAGAUCCAGGAGAGCUGCUCUGAAAAACUGGGCAAACUCGCCAGAGACGGUUAGUUGUGUCCAGCUCAGCUCCAAAUAAAGUAAUUUUUGCUACUUGGAGGAGGGGAUGGGGGUGGGAGUGGGGAGUAGGCAGAGAAGAAUCUGAAGAGUAGUUGUCUGGAAGUUGUGCAGUGAGGCCUGAGAGGGUUCUUCCUCCGGCCACCCCCUUGAAAAGCCCUGCAAGUUUUUUCACAGUCUCUCCGGCUGGCUGCAGGGUUGAGCGCUUCUCUCCGCAACAACUCCGGCUGCCCCUGCAGGAAAUACGGCUCUCUCUAACCCUGCUGACAGAUUUUAUGGCCAGAUUAGAGAACAGCAGAACACUUGGGUGUUAAAAGGGACCAAGAGAACCUUCCUUCCCCGAGACACCGCUUCCCUGCCCCCUUGUUGUGCUGUGAAUCUUACAGCACAGAUAUUUCCCCCUUCACCAGAUAUUUUCCCCUUCCCCCUGCUUAGCUAGGGCCUGAAAUCCCUCAGAAGGAAGGGUAGGGGACACCAAGCCAAGGCAGCCCUUAUUUUUCUUGUUUGCAAUGACAAUUUCAAGCCAAGGCUCUGUUUUUCAAACUUGAGCUAAACUCUCUGACUUGGCCUGCCUUUCUCCUGCUAGAUAAAUAAUCUAUCCACUCUACCCCCAGAGCCAGACGUGGCGCUUCACCUAGUUACAUCAUUCAGAAGAUGUUACUCAGGGAAGAGGAAGAGAGAGAGAAAGACAGAAAGAAAGAAAAACCCUUGAGCGUUAUUUAAUCCCAAUCAAACUUUGCACGCUCUCAUGCCUUUAAAUUAUAGCCUGACCCAAUGCUAAAUUGCUUGCUGCUUAGGUGAGCCUAGUCCAGUUAAAAUCCUACUUGGUGGUGGUGGGGGGAGUGUAGAAUUCAGGUUGCUUUUUUAUUGUUAUUUAUUGUUGCAUAAAGACUGUAAUUACUAACCUUGGACUGCCAGGAUGCAACAUAAAAAUGAAAAUCAGCUCUCACUUUAAGGCUGAGGGCCUGGAACGAUUCUCACCGACACGCCCCCCCCCCCAUCACUAUCAACAAAUAUAUGCUCCUAAUUAAGCAAUGCGGGCGCAUCGCUUACAAUUAGAAUUAUGCAACUCUUCAGCAAGCAGCCAUCGCCUCUCUUUCAACGAAUUAGCUCCAUAUUUCAGCCACCCUGUCUCCUCGCUCUUAUCGGCUCCAGCGACGCGGCAGUGACAUUUCAUCUUUGACAGACUCUCUCUAUCCUCGCUCCAAUGUGAUAAAAGUUUUAUGGAACCACGACUAAGAAAUGAAGUUUUCCCAAGGAUAGUGGAAACAGAGCAGCACAUUAGCCUGGGGACCAUUUUAUUUACGCUUGGAUCCAACAGCUUCUCCUACCCUCCUCCUCUCCCCUCUCCCUGGCAGUGGAAAUCAAACACGCCUCCUCUCCCUCCGCCCUGAGUUUUAUUUAGUGAUUUAAUUUCACUUUAGUUUUAAGGUUUGACCUGAGAAGUCUAGGCCUCAGAUUUUUUUUUUAGAUUAAUCAUUUUCCUUUGUUUUCAUUUUAGACCCAAUGGUGGUUGGGCUUCGGGUCACGUGACGACUUCUUUGUCGCUCCGGAAGAGAACUGUGAAGUUUAGGUUGCGUGAGAAUUGCCAGGAAAAAAAAAAAUCAAGAUUUGGGGGAAUUACCCACAUAGAUGUAAGGUGUGUUAACUUGGGCGCUUCUUGGAUUCUACCCUGAGGAGGAGGCGCAUGAUCUUGAUUUGCCGCUCGCUGAGGUUCAGCAGGUUGGCCAUCUCCACGCGGCGCGGCCGGCACAGGUAGCGGUUGAAGUGGAACUCCUUCUCCAGCUCCACCAGCUGCGCGCUAGUGUACGCCGUCCGCGCCCGUUUGGAC